This 492-nucleotide long non-coding RNA is filed under the name Chinchilla lanigera (long-tailed chinchilla). Its description in RNAcentral is "lncRNA (ENSCLAG00000023558.1)". Lineage: Eukaryota; Metazoa; Chordata; Mammalia; Rodentia; Chinchillidae. The record is from RNAcentral.
CUUUUCUGAUCCUGGUGUACAUUACUGUUUUACAUUAUUUUAAAUGUGAUUAACUUAAAAUGUAGAAGUUAAAAGGCUUAUCCAUUCUCUUGUAUUACUGCCUAUGGGCUCAUAUCCUCUAUGCAGUGAUACAAGUGAAAGAUACAAACCCACUGAAAAGGGAUAAGAUUGAAAAGAUAACAGGGAAGAAUUGAGAUGAAGUGAGCAGGUCUCCAUGAGUACUUCUUUUAGAAAAGUUGUGUUCUGUUCCAGCUCAGUACCAAAAAAGCACAUGAUCUUGGAAGAGACAUCGCCUCCUUUGGACCUCAAAGUUCUCAUUUUUAAAAGGGAUACAGCACAAAAAUGCUUAUGAACUUUCCCAAGCUAUAUCAGUUUGUGAUUCUAAACCUCACUCAUAAGAUAGCAUGGACUCCUAGGAAGAAUAUUUGCAUUGAGAAGAGACCUUCAGAUGCUCACAGAUUAACACUGAUAAAAGAACACACAGUGAAUUGA